ACAUCAACAUAAGAGCACAUAAAUCAUAAGAGCUUGAUCCUUAAGUAACAAUAAAAUCAACUUCAGUUUGAAGCAUAAAGAUGCACAAUAACUCUCAAUACAUCAACAUAAGAGCAUAUAAAUCAUAAGAGUUUAAUCCUUAAGUAACAAUAAAAUCAACUUCAGUUUGAAGCAUAAAGAUGCACAAUAAUUCCUUAGUUACUCUCAAUACAUCAUACUUGCAUAAGUUAAUAGAGUCAACAUCCUUCCAAAGAAAACUAUUACAAUGACAAAACAAAAUAAAGCUAAAUGUUUAUAAUAGCAGACAUCUUCUCUCAACAAGUAGUUAAUAACUUCAACUUUGAAGUUCAAAUUGAUCUCUGACUUUAUGAAUUAUGUUUGAUCAUUCAUAUGGUAUGGGCCCUGCAAAACAAAAAGACAUGAAUUGAAGUGAAUUGGCUUAGAAAGGGAUUCAAGAUAUUUGACAGUAACUAAUACUAUAUAUUAACCAAACAUAUUUAUCUCAAGUGUUACCUUUAUGAUUCAAGUGGAUGGUUUUCAAUUUAUAUCAUCUAAGUGGACUGAUUCUUGAGAUGUUAUCUCUACAAAAAAAAAAAAAAAAUAUAUAAAUUAACCAAUGUUGAAAAUAAGAAUCAAAAUGCACAAGUUUCAGAUUGUUAUACAUAAUACAUACAAGUUAUACAAUCAGCUCAGAGUUAAUUUUGCAGGAAUUAUAAAUCAUCUAAGGUUGAACAAAUAAAGCUAGAAACUCAAAAAGUUGUUGUCACAUAAAGCCAGCUACUAUGUAAUUCUAUAUGAUACUCAGAAAAUUCAUAUCUACGGAUUAUCCCCUGAGAUCAACUACCUUCUGCAGAAAAGCAUGAAGCUACAAAAUUCACUUACCUUACAACCAGAUCACAUAUCAGUAACUAGGUAUCAAUUUACUACCAAGAGGAAAGUAUGGCUUAUCACAUGAAAUCAUAUCAAAACCAAACUACUGCAUAAUAAUUCUCUGCACUCCACACACAACACAUCAUAGAGGCUAUACUAAUUGAGACACAAAAUAGACUAGACCUAGACCAAGCUAGAAUUGUUAUACAUAUUAUGAACCAUCUAAGUUUCAAGUUGUGUAUCAUUAAUCAAUGAAGAAGCCAACAUGUAAUUAAAUCGUUUAAUGAAACCAAAACAAAAGCAUCUUAGUUUAAAUAACAAUUUAAAAAACAUUCAUUAUUCAUCGAAACCUAUAAACUCGAUUAUUCAAGAUGACAAGUAGCAGCUCAAACUCACUAAGGGCCAAGUUUCAAGUUAACCUCCUCCAAACUUUACCAUUCAAUCAAGAUGUUACUCUACUAACAGUCAAUUACAUCACAAGAUGUUACCAUUCUUCUUGGACAAGUUCAUUUUAAAAUUUCAGAAACUACAAAGUGCAUGACUAUAAUUAACUUCACAAGACAACAAUAAUAACAAAGUUACAAAAGAUUCACCAUCCUACCAAAAAACUCCACAGUAGAGAACACAAAUGAAUAGAAGUUAUAGAAAUGAGCUAAAAAAAGCUUCUAAGAGUCCAAAUAUUUCACACGUCACUUUGCAACAAUCACUAACAAAUUAACACUCAUCAUAUAAUCACACAAACAUGCCAGAAACAAAAACAUGCCCACAAACCAAAAUCAAUCAUACCCAGAAACAAAAAUCAAACAAAAUCAUACCCAAAAACCAAAAUCAAUCAUACCCAAAAACAAAACUAAAAACAAAUCAUACCCAUAAACUAAUUUGUACCUUACGUGAAGAGUUCGCAUAAGAGUUCGAAGAAGAGGUGAAGAUCGCAAACAAAAAUGAAUUGGCUAAAAAAUGGUCCCUGAAGAGGUGAAGACCGGCCAUUUCAUGGAUUAAUCAUGGCAUUUCACCAUCACUGGUCCCUGAAGAGGAGAAAUUAGGGUUUAGAAAUUGAAAUUGAAAUUACUCAAAUUAGGGUUUUGAAAAGGGUUCAGUUCACCUUUUGUGUCAUUGUGUGAAAAGAAGAUUUCUGUGAUAACUGAUUAAUUGAGUUGUAAAUUGUAAUGGUUCGGUUCGGUUAAUACCAGUUAAUUGAAUCUAAUAAAAAUUCGGUUCGGUUAGUAAAUCAUCUUCAAAUAACGGUUCAAUUCGGUUAACCAAUGCA
This 2137-nucleotide long non-coding RNA is filed under the name Medicago truncatula (barrel medic). Its description in RNAcentral is "long non-coding RNA (MTRU_LNC000423)". The record is from RNAcentral. Lineage: Eukaryota; Viridiplantae; Streptophyta; Magnoliopsida; Fabales; Fabaceae.